This 586-nucleotide long non-coding RNA is filed under the name Equus caballus (horse). RNAcentral describes it as "lncRNA (ENSECAG00000029085.2)". The record is from RNAcentral. Lineage: Eukaryota; Metazoa; Chordata; Mammalia; Perissodactyla; Equidae.
UGUGGAUAGGGUGCAGGCUACCUGGAGGAUCUAUUGUCUUGCUUAUAGAAAUAAAAUUAUUCUUUUAAAUUUUCAACUUCAUAGAAUGAAAAAUUAAGAGGAAGCCCAAGAUUAAAAGCCAAGGGAUGGAUAGAGAAUUUCAGGAAAAACAGAACAUAUUGGAGUAGUCAGGGAAGGCAUUGUAGAACUGGGACUUAGUUCAUCGAACACUCAUCUGACUGUUCCUAUGAAUUAUACCUUCUGUGGGCUCAAAGUUCAAGGCAGCAGGGAAGAUUCGGCAGACAGGUGCCUCGGGAGGGAGAGGGCCUUGAUGGGGAUCGUUUCCCUAAGACUUGGCUUCCACAGCUGGUUCGGUCCCACUCCCUGCCUGCUUCACUCUGAUUUUCACAAUGAAUGGCCAGAAUCAAGAGUGAUCCAGAAGCCUGCGGAAGGUGGCGCAGCAGAGGGAGCUGGUCGUCCCGAAUCCUGCAUCUGCUGCACUAGUUUGACAGUUAAAAUGACUACGUUCUUAAAACAUUUUUUUUUUUUUUUUUUUUUUUUUUGCUUUAUUUUGAAUAAACAGACCCUCCUGGGAGUAACAAAGACA